This 393-nucleotide long non-coding RNA is filed under the name Aotus nancymaae (Ma's night monkey). RNAcentral describes it as "lncRNA (ENSANAG00000038874.1)". The record is from RNAcentral. Lineage: Eukaryota; Metazoa; Chordata; Mammalia; Primates; Aotidae.
UAGGCACUGGACUAUAGCAGUAAACAAAGCUCAUCAUGUCUCUGCCCUCAAACUCUACAGUCCCGGGAAUGAGGAAAACUGAGGUCAGGUUCUGCAAAGUGGACCAGAGACUGUGCACAAGAAGAUGAUGCUCCAUGAACGGCUGGAACUGGAAACAGGAUAACUUGGAUAAUACACCCCAUCUCGGCACCUAUGAGAGUCUGACUCACUUCCUCUGUCCAGAGGAGAAACAAGGACUCCUUGGACAAAGCGUGUGCCUUUCACAGCCAACGAAUCAGGCAUCAGCAUUUCUCCGGGUUCUGUGAAGCUUAUUUAGUGACAUUCCCCAAAACCUUGCUCAGGUAAGUUCCUCCUUCCCUGACUUCAGGUACAGUCCGAGAUUCAUUUCAGUGA